Molecule: ribosomal RNA, 916 nt
Filed under: Chlorovibrissea sp. PDD70070
Lineage: Eukaryota; Fungi; Ascomycota; Leotiomycetes; Helotiales; Vibrisseaceae
Description: eukaryotic LSU rRNA
Rfam family: Eukaryotic large subunit ribosomal RNA
Source: RNAcentral
UUAAGCAUAUCAAUAAGCGGAGGAAAAGAAACCAACAGGGAUUACCUCAGUAACGGCGAGUGAAGCGGUAACAGCUCAAAUUUGAAAUCUGGCUUCGGCCCGAGUUGUAAUUUGCAGAAGAUGCUUUGGGGGUGGUCCCGGUCUAAGUCCCUUGGAACAGGACGUCAUAGAGGGUGAGAACCCCGUAUGUGACCGGUGCCCGCUCCCGUGUAAAGCUCUUUCGACGAGUCGAGUUGUUUGGGAAUGCAGCUCAAAAUGGGUGGUAUAUUUCAUCUAAAGCUAAAUACUGGCCAGAGACCGAUAGCGCACAAGUAGAGUGAUCGAAAGAUGAAAAGCACUUUGGAAAGAGAGUUAAACAGUACGUGAAAUUGUUGAAAGGGAAGCGCUUGCAACUAGACUCGCAGGCCGUCGAUCACCCGGUGUUCUCACCGGGGCACUCGGCGGUCUUCGGGCCAGCAUCGGUUUGGGUGGUGGGAGAAAGACCUUGGGAAUGUGGCUCCUCCGGGAGUGUUAUAGCCCUCGGUGCAAUGCCGCCUACCCAGACCGAGGACCGCGCUUCGGCUAGGAUGCUGGCGUAAUGGUUGUAAGCGACCCGUCUUGAAACACGGACCAAGGAGUCUAACAUCUAUGCGAGUAUUUGGGUGUUAAACCCAUAUGCGAAAUGAAAGUGAACGUAGGUGAGAACCCUUUAGGGUGCAUCAUCGACCGAUCCUAAUGUCUUCGGACGGAUUUGAGUAAGAGCAUAGCUGUUGGGACCCGAAAGAUGGUGAACUAUGCCUAAAUAGGGUGAAGCCAGAGGAAACUCUGGUGGAGGCUCGCAGCGGUUCUGACGUGCAAAUCGAUCGUCAAAUUUGGGUAUAGGGGCGAAAGACUAAUCGAACCAUCUAGUAUCUGGUUCCUGCCGAAGUUUCCCUCA